RNAcentral lists this ribosomal RNA (253 nucleotides) under uncultured bacterium. RNAcentral's name for it is "partial 16S ribosomal RNA". It matches the Rfam family "Bacterial small subunit ribosomal RNA", at positions 524 to 776 of the family's 1533-position model. The record is from RNAcentral.
UACGUAGGGUGCAAGCGUUGUCCGGAAUUAUUGGGCGUAAAGAGCUCGUAGGCGGUUUGUCGCGUCUGCUGUGAAAACCUAAGGCUCAACCUUGGGCUUGCAGUGGGUACGGGCAGACUAGAGUGCGGUAGGGGUGACUGGAAUUCCUGGUGUAGCGGUGAAAUGCGCAGAUAUCAGGAGGAACACCAGCAGCGAAGGCGGCGCUCUGGGCUGGAACUGACGCUGAGGAGCGAAAGCGUGGGUAGCAAACAGG